UUGAGGCAAAGUUCUGAGACACUUCGACUCUGAGUAUGAUAGAAGUCAGUGCACUACAGAACUUUGUCUCUAG
Non-coding RNA from Cricetulus griseus (Chinese hamster), 73 nucleotides. The record is from Rfam. NCBI's taxonomy places the organism in Eukaryota, Metazoa, Chordata, Mammalia, Rodentia, Cricetidae.